Molecule: ribosomal RNA, 443 nt
Filed under: uncultured bacterium
Lineage: Bacteria
Description: partial 16S ribosomal RNA
Rfam family: Bacterial small subunit ribosomal RNA
Source: RNAcentral
CCUACGGGAGGCAGCAGUGGGGGAUAUUGGACAAUGGGGGGAACCCUGAUCCAGCGACGCCGCGUGAGUGAAGAAGUAUUUCGGUAUGUAAAGCUCUGUCAGCAGGGAAGAAAGAAAUGACGGUACCUGACCAAGAAGCCCCGGCUAAAUACGGGCCAGCAGCCGCGGUAAUACGUAGGGGGCAAGCGUGAUCCGGAAUUACUGGGUGUAAAGGGAGAGUAGAGGGUUAAGUAAGUCUGGAGUGAAAGCCCUGGGCCCAACCCCGGGACUGCUUUGGAAACUGUGAAGCUGGAGGGCGGGAGGGGCAGGCGGAAUUCCUGGUGGAGCGGUGAAAUGCGUAGAUAUCAGGAGGAACACCGGCGGCGAAGGCGGCCUGCUGGACCGUAACUGACGUUGAGGCUCGAAAGCGUGGGGAGCAAACAGGAUUAGAUACCCUUGUAGUC